Molecule: ribosomal RNA, 253 nt
Filed under: uncultured bacterium
Lineage: Bacteria
Description: partial 16S ribosomal RNA
Rfam family: Bacterial small subunit ribosomal RNA
Source: RNAcentral
UACAGAGGAUGCAAGCGUUAUCCGGAAUGAUUGGGCGUAAAGCGUCUGUAGGUGGCUUUUUAAGUCCGCCGUCAAAUCCCAGGGCUCAACUCUGGACAGGCGGUGGAAACUACCAAGCUGGAGUACGGUAGGGGCAGAGGGAAUUCCUGGUGUAGCGGUGAAAUGCGUAGAUAUCAGGAGGAACACCUGCGGUGUAGACGGCUUUCUGGACCAUUGCUGACGCUGAGACACGAAAGCGUGGGUAGCAAACAGG